Molecule: ribosomal RNA, 778 nt
Filed under: uncultured Neocallimastigales
Lineage: Eukaryota; Fungi; Neocallimastigomycota; Neocallimastigomycetes; Neocallimastigales
Description: partial large subunit ribosomal RNA
Rfam family: Eukaryotic large subunit ribosomal RNA
Source: RNAcentral
CGAGCACGCGCGUGUGGCAUAUCAAUAAGCGGAGGAAAAGAAACUAACAAGGAUUCCCUUAGUAACGGCGAGUGAAGCGGGAAGAGCUCAAAUUUGAAAUCUUCAAGGUUCUACCUUGACGAAUUGUAGUUUAUAGAAGUGUUUUCUGUUAGUGGAGUGGCAAAAGUUCUUUGGAAUAGGACAGUCAUAGAGGGUGAGAAUCCCGUAUUUGGUCAUUCCUCCUAGCGUUGUGAUACACUUUCAACGAGUCGGAUUGUUUGGGAAUGCAGUCCAAAAUGGGUGGUAAAUUUCAUCUAAAGCUAAAUAUUGGCGAGAGACCGAUAGCGAACAAGUACCGUGAGGGAAAGAUGAAAAGAACCUUGAAAAGAGAGUUAAACAGUACGUGAAAUUGUCAAAAGGGAAGCGUUUGACACCAGUGUUGUUUUUCCGAAAAUCAAUUACGAAUGUUUUGUUUUUGAGGAGUUAUGACUUCAUCGGCUUGCUCCUUUUCUUUACUGAAACUUUCUUAAUGCACUUUUCGGUUAACAAGUCAACAUCAAUUUCUUUUGUUGUAAAAGGGUACUGAGGAAGGUGGCUUUCUUUUCGGAGAAAGUGUUUAUAGCCUUGUGCCUCUGCAAUCGGAGAGAUUGAGGUCUGCAGCGUAGAUCCUUCGGGGUUAGAUACGUUUGUGCUAAGUUAUAGCUUUUCAUAGACAACUUGUUGACUAUGUUUAGUCUUGUAGCUUACUCGCUGACGCUAUUUUACCUACGCUUAGGAUGUUGAGCGCAUGUCUCUCUCU